Molecule: non-coding RNA, 98 nt
Organism: Hymenopellis radicata
Lineage: Eukaryota; Fungi; Basidiomycota; Agaricomycetes; Agaricales; Physalacriaceae
Source: the annotation of a GenBank genome assembly
GGCCGACUAGCUCAGUUGGUUAGAGCGUCGUGCUAAUAUCACCCAUCUGUGGUAUUGAUUUGACGCGAAGGUCUUGGGUUCGACCCCCACGUUGGCCA